This 253-nucleotide ribosomal RNA is filed under the name uncultured bacterium. Its description in RNAcentral is "partial 16S ribosomal RNA". It matches the Rfam family "Bacterial small subunit ribosomal RNA", at positions 524 to 776 of the family's 1533-position model. The record is from RNAcentral.
UACGGAGGGUGCGAGCGUUGUCCGGAAUCAUUGGGCGUAAAGGGCGCGUAGGUGGCGGGACAAGCGUGCGGUGAAAGCCUGGGGCUCAACCCCGGGUCGGCCGUGCGAACUGUUUUGCUUGAGCACUGCAGAGGCAGGCGGAAUUCCGGGUGUAGCGGUGGAAUGCGUAGAGAUCCGGAAGAACACCGGUGGCGAAGGCGGCCUGCUGGGCAGUAGCUGACACUGAGGCGCGACAGCGUGGGGAGCAAACAGG